Long non-coding RNA from Cucurbita moschata (crookneck pumpkin), 3702 nucleotides. RefSeq lists it as uncharacterized. The transcript is spliced from 3 exons. The record is from RefSeq and is a predicted model, not a curated record. Lineage: Eukaryota; Viridiplantae; Streptophyta; Magnoliopsida; Cucurbitales; Cucurbitaceae.
GUUGGCCUAAAAAAACAAUUAUGAGAAUGACCUACACAAGUACACUUGAAUUUCUAGGAACCUUGUUUCUGUUGCAGCAUAUCAACAAUAAUUUCAUGGUUUAUCUGUAAUUCCUGGUUAUAACUCAAUGUUUUCUAUUAAAUGGAAUAGAUGGGUUAAAGAGAUAUAAUUUUCAGAUUACAUGCAUACAAAACUUGGAUGUGUUCCAUGCCCUGGGCAUCGAAUAUCAGUCACUACAGAUUCUAUGCACAAAGUGAGCUUUUACUGACAAUAGAUGCUCAACCUCACAGAGAACUACUGGUGGAAAGUAUUUACCGAUGGCAAAAUCUUUGAGCGGUUCACCACUGUUCUGCCGAAAUUUGCGGUGCAUCCAACCAAGUAGCUGUGAGAAAAAACCAAAAUAUCAUUUAGUCGUUAGACAGAAACACUCUACAAGAAUUAAUGCAGAAUUAACUUUGCCUUCAUCUUUCUGGUUGUGCUUCAGAAAACUGAGUUUUGUUGCCUUCAGUUUAGAGGGGUGAUGAGAAAAAGUGUUUUCCAUAGUUUAGCUCGCUGCUUAUUUAUCAAUAGAAUGUCAAACUCUUACUGCACACCUCCAAUAGUCUGAGAUGAUGUGCGUAAAGGAAACAUAGGGAUAGUUACAAAAGAACUGGCUGGCUUGUGCUAUCCAUUCAAGUGGCUAAAUGGAUGGUGGGUCCUGGAGCACCCUUCCGGAAGCUGUUCAUUUUAUCUGAGGAAUGUGAGUAGUUUUGAUUUUUUGGUACUUUGAGUGGUGGUAUGGACUCACUCCAAACCUGAGAUAGUAUUUUCCAUUCUUCAAAUAAUUUUAUUGUUACUGUUUGAAGAUGUUUAAUUCUCUUUUAAUUUUAUUUAAUCAGUUUUAAGUACCUUAAUUUAUUCAUGUUUUGUAUAUAGUUGUGCUUUCUACACAAACAUGUUUUGCACAUGCCUCCAUGGGAAAAUGAUAGCUUCCAUUCUUAUAAUUGUAACAAUUUCACUAUAAUUUGGUGGGCAGAGCCCUAAAUGACUGGUGGGGUCUCUGGAGAAUAUUGUGUUGGACCAAAAUAGGUGCAAAGAUUGACAACGAAGUGGAUCAUUUCUCAUCAGGGGCACAAACUGUAUUAUCUGACCUGGAAAGGUAGAAGAUUAAUUGGAAAUUUGAAAGGACUCUUCAAUAUCUUAUUUCCAUGUAUGAUCCUAUUAAAUCUACAUGUUGGAUCAUGCAUUUGGUUGGGAUCUUUGGAGGAAAGGAAUUUUAAUAGUAGAUGACCUUUUGGUCUCCCUGACACCGUUCUUUUAUCAUGUUUGUAAGCAGAACAUUCUCAGAUGAGAUCAGAAAUAACACAAAGGUUAGAUUGCGCUUCUGAUCUUUAUCCCUAACAAUGGCCAUGAUUCUAGCAUUGCUGUUGGUAACCUCAAUUUCCAUGAUUCUAGCAUUGCUGUUGGUAACCUCAAUUUGUGUUACAAUUUUAUGAGAGAAUUUUAACUUGUGAUGUCUGAUAUAUGUGCUUGUUUCCCUGCAAAAGAAAAAGGUAAUAACUCGUCUUUUGGGCUUCAUAAUAUGAUCACUUGCGUCAUUUCAGAAUAUUUUUUGGGAACAAAAUAUAAAGGAAAGAAGUAUGCCCGGGUCCCAUGUGUUUCUAAAUUCAACCUUUUACAACUCCUUGUUUCUGAAACAUGCUACUAUAGGACAGAAAACUUACCCUUCUGGAUAUUGGCUAGCUCUUGUUUGUUAUUCAUAUUUAUUGUUUACUUUCAGUAGUAUCCUUUGCUUAAAGACAUGGUUUCUGGGCGAGACAGGGUAAGAAGGAAGAGACGGAAGAAGGUGAUGCACUCUGACAUUGGUUGUGAAGUACAACAGAAGCAAACAUGAAUUCUUCUAUUUUUUUCUCCUUUGACUGUUACAAUAAUUUGUGAAUGUCCUGAGUCUCUGUGAGUUGUCAGAAUUUGUAAAAAGGUCUUCCACUGAGCUUUUGUUUUUUAACCUUCCUAGGAAAGAAAUUGAUUUGAUGUCAGUUCUGUCACCAUAUUUCUGAAACCUUCUUAAGUCAUUUCCUUGAGCAUGAAAAAGAUCUCCUUUGCCUCAACCAUGUCGUGGCUAUGCUCCCAAUAUUAACUGUUUGUUUCUAUUUUGUCAGUGGGAGUUCAAAAGAGAUGAAUAAUAUUACUUUGCUUUAUGUGCUUUAUAAUUUCAGGUGAAAGAUUUAGGAAGAAAGGCUUCUGAUUUUAUUAAGGUGGGACUACGAUGUACAGCACCAUGCGGGAUGAAAAAACUUUUUCUUACCUCCACGAGCAAGUCAUGAUUUUAUGUCAAAUCUGCCUAAAUAUCCAGCUGAUAAGUUGGCCUCCUCUAUUUGUUUUUUGUUUUUAACCUGGUAGAUUGAUAUUUAAAUCUUAAGUUGAUUAGAUUUGCAUUAGAUCUGGUGACAUAGUGGGAAAGAUGCAAGGGGGGGCCAUGCUCCAUGAACUUGCAAACUUUUUGGUAUGAGGAUAGGUUUUUACCUGUGAUACAAAAGCUUGUCAAAUCCAACUAAUAUGAUUGGUAUAUUCACCGAUCGAUGUUCAGACAUGUUCAUACUAACCCUUUUCACUAAAUUCACUGUAUGGAGAGAUUCUAUAAUCAGCGGUUCAACGAAUCAAACCUGAUGAAAACCUUCUGCCAUCUGGUAUGUUUCUAUCAAACGUUUCAAGUUUUCUAUUCCUGCUGUUAAGAAAAAACUUACCUGGAAAGCCUGCUUCUGGAUUUGGUAGUUGUUAAAAUAGUCAAAAAGGAGUCAAAUUCUUCUGCCCUUUUGUCAAAGUAAAUCAUCCUCGGUAAAAUUACAUUUUCAAAAAGGAGUGGAACUAUAGAUAAAUUAUCAUAUAAACUUUCUGUUAUUCUUUAUCAUCGUUAGAGACAUGGUUUUACAAGAAUAAAUUAAAACUAAAGAAAUGAAGGCCAAAAAUGUAAUUUACUCACAAUCAAAAGAUUGGUAGAUCAUGAUGCAGAUGGAAAAAGUGAGCAUUUUUUAUCAGAUUCUAGGACCUGCUUAAAUUUUGUGCUGACUUUUGUUUUUAGGAACCAAACAUGAAACUAAAAUCCGAAAGUCUUGUCAGUGACAUGAGGGAAACAAUUCUGUUGUAGACAGACUGUGCCACAUAUUUAUCCUUCUCUUGACCUUUUCCUUUUGACCAACAUCCUAAAAGACCUAUAUAUGCACUGAACAUGUGUUAUGAAUCUCUUUGUCUAAAUGCAACAGCCCUCAUUCAUUAUGAUUUGUACAUGUGAAAGCAAAGCAAGUAGCCCUCCUUCAUUGUGAUCUGAUUAUGCAAUGAGCAUUAAUAUGUUUGUCUAAAUGCUUUUUAACUUUCAUUUCUGGAUUGAACCCUACUUUUAAAGCAGAGAGAUCAGUUUUUCUCUUGCCUUUGAACUCUUCUUUCCUGUUGAUGUGAGGCUGGUUUUACAGGCUGAUUGAUUAUCAUUGAAGAACAUUGCUGCCUGUGUUGUUUGGACAGUGGAUAAAGAUUGAGUCCUUAGACUCACUUUGAACCUUUCUGUACCAUGAUUUCAGUCUAAUUUGAGGCCCCUGGAUAUGGAGAUCUUCUGGAAGGGUGGAAGAAGCUUGAAGAAGAAGAAAUAUCGAUUGAUGUGAACAGGGUCAUUGAUUGCAUUUCUUCAAGGGUUACUUCAGAAGUGAUAUCAAAAGGAGGUGGAAAGAGCAA